Molecule: long non-coding RNA, 1017 nt
Organism: Centropristis striata (black sea bass)
Lineage: Eukaryota; Metazoa; Chordata; Actinopteri; Perciformes; Serranidae
Exons: 3
Source: RefSeq, a predicted model, not a curated record
AGUUCUCUCUACUGCUAUCAUAAAAGUGUAUCAGAGUUAUCUUACAAAACAGUGUAGCGUUUAAGAACUGCAAAUACUGUGACUGAACUGUAAAUGCGAAAAAAUUCGGAGAAGUCGCUCGCGCGGGAAGAGAUGUUAACAUUCAACAUGGCGAGUGGAGCUAGUUUUCAUAUUCAGCAGCUAAAGGAUUCUUCACACUCUUCUGUUGAGAUGACCAGAGCGGCUGUGCUUCGGUGCCUGAUAGAAUACCUCGGAGAAAGUGGGUAACAUCUGAUCACAGAAUUCAAUGACACAGAGGACUUGGAGGAACUUGAGCACCUUGUGGUGGCGAUCACUGUGAUCACCAAGACUGGACAUUCCACAAGUGACAACACAAAGGAAAUCGGAGUCAUCGUUGAGGGCACGGAAGUUAUCACAGCACUUGGAGACAUAGCCAGAGCUUGCUGUCUCCUGUUUGGCUUGACCUACACACUGAACCUCAAUUCCCAUGCAGCUUAAGUACACCUUUGAGGUAUUCCAAAAACUUUUUAUGGAACUGGAUGUGUCAAAGCUGUCAAAUAAAGUCCAGUCCUUCAAGAGCAAACUUCUGGCUUGAAAUAAGGCUGGAUCUACAGAGCAUACUGUUGUGCCACACCUUGGUCAGCUCCUGCAGAUCCUGAGAACUGGACUGAUCUGGACUGUAGUGAUCUGGACACUGUUGAAAUAGCCUACAAGUGCAAAAUUUUUUGUUUUCUAGCGCUGCUAGAGGGUGUUUCUUAAACCUCAGGCAAAAUGUUUUCAAGUCACAAAGUGUCCUUAAAUGGUAUCUUUUUUUUUAACUUGAUGCUUCUGUCUGAUUCAAUGUUCAGCAUCCACAGAUUUUAAGAAUAGCACAUUUGACAGUAAUACGUUUUUUAGGGGUAGUGAAAUUGCUGCUGUGUUUAGUUCAAGGUAAAAGUAGUUACAUAUCAAAGGACUUAUGCUGUUUGAAUUGAAAUUGAAUUGUGUACCUUUUUAAUAAAGUUGAUCAAAAUGUUA